GGGUACUCCCGGACACCUCUAGAGAUUUUGGUGACUUUGUGUAGUGUUUGCCCCAUUAGCUAAUGUAGAAGGCAUGUUAUGAUUUGUUAGUCUAGCAUUUGGUUUAACAUUCCUGGAUGUUUAUAUGCUAAUAUGGGUUAACUUGUGGCUAGGUAACGAGCCGGUCUUUUAGGAGGUGCCGAAACCGUAAGUUUGGCAUACUCCAGUCGAAUGAAAGGUAGCAGGUGGCUUAGAGUGGGUCCACUACUGGUCAACGCUUUGGAGAGUGCUGAGACUAGUCUCGGGUGAUGUCGUUGGUUAGAUUGUUGUGUAGCUGAUUCGUCUAGAAGUUAACCUAAAUGUUUGUAAUUAAUUGGAGCGAGGGAUAUUUAUUAUAACUUGUGAGUUGAGGUUUUGGGCGUUGAAUUGGUUGUAUUUUAAGUAAGAAGUCUUCCGCUAAUUUGUAUUC
Long non-coding RNA from Rhododendron vialii, 448 nucleotides. RefSeq lists it as uncharacterized. The record is from RefSeq and is a predicted model, not a curated record. Lineage: Eukaryota; Viridiplantae; Streptophyta; Magnoliopsida; Ericales; Ericaceae. The transcript has 2 exons.